This 251-nucleotide ribosomal RNA is filed under the name uncultured prokaryote. RNAcentral describes it as "partial 16S rRNA". It matches the Rfam family "Bacterial small subunit ribosomal RNA", at positions 525 to 775 of the family's 1533-position model. The record is from RNAcentral.
ACGGAGGAUGCAAGCGUUAUCCGGAUUCAUUGGGUUUAAAGGGUGCGCAGGCGGAUUAAUAAGUCAGUGGUGAAAUCCUACGGCUCAACUGUAGAACUGCCAUUGAUACUGUUAGACUUGAGUAUAGUUGAGGUAGCCGGAAUGUGUCAUGUAGCGGUGAAAUGCUUAGAUAUGACACAGAACACCAAUCGCGAAGGCAGCUAACCUGGCAUUAACUGACGCUCAGGCACGACAGCGUGGGGAUCAAACAG